RNAcentral lists this ribosomal RNA (445 nucleotides) under uncultured bacterium. Its description in RNAcentral is "partial 16S ribosomal RNA". It matches the Rfam family "Bacterial small subunit ribosomal RNA", at positions 354 to 796 of the family's 1533-position model. The record is from RNAcentral.
GUGAGGAAUAUUGCGCAAUGGAGGCAACUCUGACGCAGCCAUGCCGCGUGCAGGAAGAAGGCGCUACGCGUUGUAAACUGCUUUUAACCGGGAAGAAACCCCAGGACGUGUCCUGGGUUGACGGUACCGGAGGAAUAAGCACCGGCUAACUUCGUGCCAGCAGCCGCGGUAAUACGAAGGGUGCAAGCGUUAUCCGGAUUCAUUGGGUUUAAAGGGUGCGUAGGCGGAGCGUUACGUCAGUGGUGAAAUCCUGCAGCUUAACUGUAGACUUGCCAUUGAUACUGGCGCGCUUGAGUGCGCUUGAAGUGGGCGGAAUGUGCCGUGUAGCGGUGAAAUGCUUAGAUAUGGCACAGAACACCAAUUGCGAAGGCAGCUCACUAAGGCGAUACUGACGCUGAGGCACGAAAGCGUGGGGAUCGAACAGGAUUAGAAACCCUGGUAGUCC